This 429-nucleotide ribosomal RNA is filed under the name Acidobacteriota bacterium. RNAcentral's name for it is "Acidobacteria bacterium partial 16S ribosomal RNA". It matches the Rfam family "Bacterial small subunit ribosomal RNA", at positions 355 to 776 of the family's 1533-position model. Lineage: Bacteria; Pseudomonadati; Acidobacteriota. The record is from RNAcentral.
UGGGGAAUUUUGGACAAUGGGCGAAAGCCUGAUCCAGCAAUGCCGCGUGUGUGAAGAAGGCCUUCGGGUUGUAAAGCACUUUUGUCCGGAAAGAAAUGGCUCUGGUUAAUACCUGGGGUCGAUGACGGUACCGGAAGAAUAAGGACCGGCUAACUACGUGCCAGCAGCCGCGGUAAUACGUAGGGUCCAAGCGUUAAUCGGAAUUACUGGGCGUAAAGCGUGCGCAGGCGGUUGUGCAAGACCGAUGUGAAAUCCCCGAGCUUAACUUGGGAAUUGCAUUGGUGACUGCACGGCUAGAGUGUGUCAGAGGGGGGUAGAAUUCCACGUGUAGCAGUGAAAUGCGUAGAGAUGUGGAGGAUUACCGAUGGCGAAGGCAGCCCCCUGGGAUAACACUGACGCUCAUGCACGAAAGCGUGGGGAGCAAACAGG